Lonchura striata (white-rumped munia) is the source of this 526-nucleotide non-coding RNA. The record is from RefSeq and is a predicted model, not a curated record. Lineage: Eukaryota; Metazoa; Chordata; Aves; Passeriformes; Estrildidae.
GAAGCUGACACCUUCUGGAAGAGUGUCACAGCAAGCUGCAAGCAGCAGGAGUCUCUUGGAGUGCAUCAAGGAUAAGCUAAUCCAGAAUAUCCUCCGCCAAUGAGAGAAGAUGUUUUGCUGGAUCUGUUGCUCUUCACCUUAGAGGAGCUUACAGGAGAAGUCCAUACUCAUGGUAGCCUGAGUUGCAGUGAUCAUGUCCUGGUGAAAAUCAUGAUUUGAAGGGAUAAGGACAGACAAAAGGUGCAAUAGGAACAACCACAGUGGCUCGAUGCGUGAGAGUAUUUGUGUGGCGGGGAUGGGAGCUUGCUGCAACCUGCUGUGAUGCCUGCACAUCCACGGUGAAUGGGAUUGGCUAAAGCUGAGCUCUUCGAUCCUCUCCCUCUCUGGGGCAGCUAUCCUAAAGAUCAAGGAUGGUUCAUACCUACUGCACUACAGCAGCACCGGAUGAUGUUUGAAAAACAUUGUUUAUAUAAUGAGAGUAUCACCAGUUCUUACAUUUUUAAUUAAAGUUCAUUCUAAGUGUGCU